UGUUACCCAGCUACUGGGUAGGAUAGGUCUUUUUACUCAGCUGUUUUGAACUUGGGACCUCCUAGCCACUAGGCUGUUUUGGGCUUUGCAGACUGCACAUUAUAUUACACUUGAUUCUAGCCAAAAGGCCAAGAAGCAAUUGCAAAUUAUAUUACAAAUUCCGUAGGCCUUUUUUACUUUGUAAAUAUUACAGUAGUAAAUCCUCCACUCCUCCCUGCCUUGAGAUUCUCCCUCUCUCUCCCUCAAGGUAGAAUAAUUGCUAACUGUUACAAGUUGGGUUCUCUGGGAAGCAGACUCUGAGACUGCCUUUAGUGUGAAGGAGGUUUAUUAGGGGGAGCCAUUGGGAUCAAUAACUGGAGACAGGCAGGAUUAGACAGAAGCAGAAGUCGAACUGUGAUGCAGGCUGGCAGAACCCAGCACCUGGGCUGACAUGGAUGCAUCAGACUUGUCCCACAUUGGGCCAAGAUGGCCUUGUCUCUUUACCCUCGCCUGACAGGUCAUGGGAUGUGGGCACA
RNAcentral lists this long non-coding RNA (515 nucleotides) under Homo sapiens (human). RNAcentral's name for it is "non-protein coding lnc-CBX3-1:1". Lineage: Eukaryota; Metazoa; Chordata; Mammalia; Primates; Hominidae. The record is from RNAcentral.